GAUGAAGAACGCAGCGAAAUGCGAUACGUAAUGUGAAUUGCAGAAUUCAGUGAAUCAUCGAAUCUUUGAACGCAUAUUGCGCUCUCUGGUAUUCCGGAGAGCAUGCUUGUUUGAGUAUCAGUAAACACCUCAACUUCCAUAUCUUUUUUGAAAUGGGAGUUGGACUUGAGUGAUCCCAACGCUUUUCCUCACCGAAAAGUGGCGGGUUACUUGAAAUGCAGGUGCAGCUGGACUUUUCUCUGAGCUAUAAGCAUAUCUAUUUAGUCUGCCUAAAAAACAGAUUAUUACCUUUGCUGCAGCUAACAUAAAGGAGAUUAGUUCUUGUGCUGACUGAUGCAGGAUUAACAAAGACGGCUUCGGCCGACUUUGUAAACUCGAUCUCAAAUCAAGUAAGACUACCCGCUGAACUUAAGCAUAUCAAUAAGCGGAGGA
Molecule: unclassified non-coding RNA, 432 nt
Filed under: soil metagenome
Description: partial contains 5.8S ribosomal RNA, internal transcribed spacer 2, and large subunit ribosomal RNA
Rfam family: 5.8S ribosomal RNA (bases 1-120)
Source: RNAcentral